This 286-nucleotide long non-coding RNA is filed under the name Homo sapiens (human). RNAcentral describes it as "HSALNT0101270". The record is from RNAcentral. Lineage: Eukaryota; Metazoa; Chordata; Mammalia; Primates; Hominidae.
GGAAUCUAGAAAACUGUAUCUGAAGUUGUUCCUACCUGAAGCCGUUGCAUUGAGAGGUGCUAAGUGGAUCCUCUGGCCAGCUGACUGCACUUCUUUUUUGAGAAAGGAAGGAAUAUAUCCUGACUGAUUCAGCCCUAGCAAACCAAGAGUGAGCCACCUUGGAAGUAGAUCCUGCAGUCCCAGUCAAGCCUUCGGAUGACUGAAACUUCGGCCAAUUAUCUGACUGCCAUCAGAGAACCCAAGCCAGAACUACCCAGCUAAGCUACUUCUAAAUUCCUGACCCACA